RNAcentral lists this ribosomal RNA (453 nucleotides) under uncultured bacterium. RNAcentral describes it as "bacterial SSU rRNA". It matches the Rfam family "Bacterial small subunit ribosomal RNA", at positions 335 to 799 of the family's 1533-position model. The record is from RNAcentral.
ACUCCUACGGGAGGCAGCAGUGGGGAAUAUUGCACAAUGGGCGAAAGCCUGAUGCAGCGACGCCGCGUGAGGGAUGACGGCCUUCGGGUUGUAAACCUCUUUCAGUAGGGAAGAAGCGAAAGUGACGGUACCUGCAGAAGAAGCACCGGCUAACUACGUGCCAGCAGCCGCGGUAAUACGUAGGGUGCGAGCGUUAUCCGGAAUUAUUGGGCGUAAAGAGCUCGUAGGCGGUUUGUCGCGUCUGUCGUGAAAGUCCGGGGCUUAACCCCGGAUCUGCGGUGGGUACGGGCAGACUAGAGUGCAGUAGGGGAGACUGGAAUUCCUGGUGUAGCGGUGGAAUGCGCAGAUAUCAGGAGGAACACCGAUGGCGAAGGCAGGUCUCUGGGCUGUAACUGACGCUGAGGAGCGAAAGCAUGGGGAGCGAACAGGAUUAGAUACCCUGGUAGCUACGAG